CUUAAAAUAAUCCCAUGCAUCAAAUUUAGUUGACCUAUUGCUAAAUAUCUACGAAACAAAGUUGACCAAGAAAACUGAACACGAAUGAUCAAUGGAAAUGAGGUGAAGGUCAGAUGAUACCUGCCAGACAGACAAAUACACCUAAAAAUCAUUCCAUACACCAAAUAUAGUUGCUUAAUGAUUAAGAAAAAUUAGACCAAAACACAAGAACUUAACAUUGAGCAAUGAACCAUGAAAUUGAGGUCAAGAUCACAUUAAACCUGCCUGGCUGACAUGUACAUCUUGAAAUAUUUCCAUACACCAAAUAUAGUCCUAAUGCAUACAGUACUAAAAUAACAGACCAAAACACACACAUUUAUAAUUUAUGCAAUGAGCCUGAAAAUGAGGUCAAGCCUCAAGGUCAAAUAAAACUUGCCAG
Molecule: long non-coding RNA, 418 nt
Filed under: Mytilus galloprovincialis (Mediterranean mussel)
Lineage: Eukaryota; Metazoa; Mollusca; Bivalvia; Mytilida; Mytilidae
Source: RNAcentral